Molecule: ribosomal RNA, 580 nt
Filed under: Priestia megaterium
Lineage: Bacteria; Bacillati; Bacillota; Bacilli; Caryophanales; Bacillaceae
Description: bacterial SSU rRNA
Rfam family: Bacterial small subunit ribosomal RNA
Source: RNAcentral
UCGGAGAGUUUGAUCCUGGCUCAGGAUGAACGCUGGCGGCGUGCCUAAUACAUGCAAGUCGAGCGAACUGAUUAGAAGCUUGCUUCUAUGACGUUAGCGGCGGACGGGUGAGUAACACGUGGGUAACCUGCCUGUAAGACUGGGAUAACUUCGGGAAACCGAAGCUAAUACCGGAUAGGAUCUUCUCCUUCAUGGGAGAUGAUUGAAAGAUGGUUUCGGCUAUCACUUACAGAUGGGCCCGCGGUGCAUUAGCUAGUUGGUGAGGUAACGGCUCACCAAGGCAACGAUGCAUAGCCGACCUGAGAGGGUGAUCGGCCACACUGGGACUGAGACACGGCCCAGACUCCUACGGGAGGCAGCAGUAGGGAAUCUUCCGCAAUGGACGAAAGUCUGACGGAGCAACGCCGCGUGAGUGAUGAAGGCUUUCGGGUCGUAAAACUCUGUUGUUAGGGAAGAACAAGUACAAGAGUAACUGCUUGUACCUUGACGGUACCUAACCAGAAAGCCACGGCUAACUACGUGCCAGCAGCCGCGGUAAUACGUAGGUGGCAAGCGUUAUCCGGAAUUAUUGGGCGUAAAG